RNAcentral lists this long non-coding RNA (399 nucleotides) under Triticum aestivum (bread wheat). Its description in RNAcentral is "long non-coding RNA (TAES_LNC011020)". The record is from RNAcentral. Lineage: Eukaryota; Viridiplantae; Streptophyta; Magnoliopsida; Poales; Poaceae.
AUCGCCUCGCCUAUCCUGCAACCUAGCAAGCAACCACAAAGGUAAUCAUGAAUUUAUAGCAACUAUAACCGGUCAUGAGAAAACAAUAUAAGAAAUUGGCAUGUGCAAGCUCUCAGUUCCUUGCCCGGUUUUGGCGGGGACGGAGAAGCAUACCCAGAGAAAAUUUGUACCGCAUGUCAGCUCCUGGUUAGCACCGGUAUUGAAGGAAGCCCAGCCGUCCCGCGAGCGGCCUCCUUGGAACUUCGAUCUCCACUAACACUUCGACCCUGAGAAGCACAAAGAGCUGAAGAUGAUAGAAGUAGCACAAUCAUUUCUCAUCAUCCUUGCAUUUUGUAAGUGCCGAGGUUCAGAAAUAAAUACAACCAGUCAUAAUUGAGAUGUAGAACGUUUCUAAACGAC